This is a long non-coding RNA of Cyprinus carpio (common carp), 1173 nucleotides long. RefSeq lists it as uncharacterized. NCBI's taxonomy places the organism in Eukaryota, Metazoa, Chordata, Actinopteri, Cypriniformes, Cyprinidae. The record is from RefSeq and is a predicted model, not a curated record. The transcript has 2 exons.
AACGAAUCACUGAAUCACUGAAUCAUUCAUUACUGAUUUAGUAAUGAAACACUGCUGAUUACAAGUCGAUGCUCAAGAGUUUUGCUGUGACUUUGAAUGGAACUAUUUUCAUCUGAAAUUGAGCAAAAACAGACUAAAUUGACCAUAUUGUGUCUAAAAUGUUGUUCAGAUUAUUGAACAGAUAUUGGAGGAAAACAGCACUGUUGCUGGUGUGAUACUGCUAAUCUAUAUCAUAUGAUAGAAAUAUAAGAGGGUCAUUUUUGCCCUCAUAUCUUGAAUUUUAGUCAUAUAACUGCAUUCUAAUAGACUACCACCUAUCAGUGUAAGAUGAUGUACUCAAAAAUGAACAUGUUAAAACAACAGCCGUAGGUUAAACGAUGUGUAUUUCCUGCAGGUGUACGUACAGCAUCUUCUGAAGAAGAACAAGGAGGCCGUCUGGAGACUGGUUCACACAGACAACGCUCACAUCUACAUCUGCGGAGACGCGCGAAACAUGGCGCGGGACGUCCAGAACGCCUUCUACGAGAUCGCGGAGGAGCUGGGAGGACUGAGCCGCGCUCAGGCGGUGGAUUACAUCAAGAAACUCAUGACUAAAGGACGCUACUCGCAGGACGUCUGGAGCUAAACCAGCUUCUGUCCAUUCCUGAUGAGUCGAAAUGUGUUCGCUGUCAUCGUUCAGGCAGAAAACACACUGACACGCAUUACCUCAGUCGAAAAUGAAUUAUGUCACAUUAUGUUAGAGGAAAAUAAAUACUGUGUAGAAUCAUGAUCUUAACAUACUAAUCAAAUACAUAUGCAUGAAUCUUUAGAAUCAAAAACAUGGUCAUUUUUAGCAACGCCAGACUAAAUGCAGAGCUGGAUUAAUGCUGGAACGCUUCUGUGUAAGCGUGAAGAGACUUUAACUCACUGUUAUUGUUAUGAACUUUAUGAAAGUGGUUUUAAACAUGCAACAGUGUUUCCUGUGACUUUUCAACCUUCAGAUGUCAGAAACAUCACGACUUUUCCUUUUAUUUCUCUGAAGUGAAAGCAUCUGACAGCCUAGAUUCUUCUAGUCACACUUAUAUUAGAGAGACGAGAUGCUGGGCUGGAAGCUCUGGUGCCUUAUUUACUGUCGUUCGCAUUAGUGGAAGACCAGCAUUGCUGCUGAAAGGUUUACUAUUUGGGAAGAUACUA